GGAGAGGUGGCUGAGUGGUCGAAAGCGCGUCACUGCUAAUGACGUAGGGGUGUUAAAUCCCCUCGAGGGUUCGAAUCCCUCCCUCUCCG
Molecule: transfer RNA, 89 nt
Filed under: bacterium
Lineage: Bacteria
Description: tRNA-Ser
Rfam family: tRNA
About the family: Transfer RNA (tRNA) molecules are approximately 80 nucleotides in length. Their secondary structure includes four short double-helical elements and three loops (D, anti-codon, and T loops).
Source: RNAcentral